Molecule: ribosomal RNA, 466 nt
Filed under: uncultured bacterium
Lineage: Bacteria
Description: partial 16S ribosomal RNA
Rfam family: Bacterial small subunit ribosomal RNA
Source: RNAcentral
UCUUCCCUCUGGCGGCGUGCUUAACACAUGCAAGUCGAACGAUGAAGCCCAGCUUGCUGGGUGGAUUAGUGGCGAACGGGUGAGUAACACGUGAGUAACCUGCCCUUAACUCUGGGAUAAGCCUGGGAAACUGGGUCUAAUACCGGAUAGGAGCGUCCACCGCAUGGUGGGUGUUGGAAAGAUUUAUCGGUUUUGGAUGGACUCGCGGCCUAUCAGCUUGUUGGUGAGGUAAUGGCUCACCAAGGCGACGACGGGUAGCCGGCCUGAGAGGGUGACCGGCCACACUGGGACUGAGACACGGCCCAGACUCCUACGGGAGGCAGCAGUGGGGAAUAUUGCACAAUGGGCGCAAGCCUGAUGCAGCGACGCCGCGUGAGGGAUGACGGCCUUCGGGUUGUAAACCUCUUUCAGUAGGGAAGAAGCGAAAGUGACGGUACCUGCAGAAGAAGCACCGGCUAACUACGUG